This is a long non-coding RNA of Homo sapiens (human), 692 nucleotides long. Ensembl annotates it as long intergenic non-protein coding RNA 558. The record is from Ensembl. Lineage: Eukaryota; Metazoa; Chordata; Mammalia; Primates; Hominidae.
AGAAUGUUUUGGCUAUUCAGAACCUUUGUGGUUCAAGAAAAGUUUUAGGAUUUUUUAAAUAUCUGUGAGAAAAUGCUAUUGGGAUUUUGAUAGUUAUUGUACUGGAUCUUACUUCAGUCUUGACUUACAUAGGCUGGAAGUAAAAGGAUGGAAAAAAGAGUCUCCACACAAAGUUUCUGUAGGUCAGACAUCCAGCAAGGAGUUUCUGGGUUCUUUGCUCUGGGUUUUAGGAGAGUGAAUUCGAGAUGUGAGCCAGACCAAGUUCUAAUUUGUAAACUCUGAAGAAAAGUUAUUGUCCAAGGUAUUUUGUGGUGAAGAUGAACUCUAGAAUCAGGUACUGCAAUUUGAAUGCUGGCUCCACAACUGAUAAGCCGGAUCCACACAGCGUGACAUGUGCUUGUGAAAGGAACUCAUCUGGUCGAAGUUCUCCUGCCCUUAUGCCAUGCAGAGUUCAGCUGGAAUUUGAAGCUUGAGUAGUGUUUCUUUUCAAAGGCCAUUAACUGUCCAUGAUAACAUAAAGUUAUUAUGAACUGUAACAUUCCAUUCAUCCUGGACUGUUGACUGAUCACACGUCUAAUUUCAUAGUAACACAAUAGGUCACAACAGUUAUUUUAUUUACUAAUUCAGAGAUUAGAUUGGUUUAAGUUGAAUAUCAAAUUGCCAGGUCAUAAUAAAAUGAUUUUUUAAAAGAA